RNAcentral lists this ribosomal RNA (497 nucleotides) under uncultured bacterium. RNAcentral describes it as "partial 16S ribosomal RNA". It matches the Rfam family "Bacterial small subunit ribosomal RNA", at positions 28 to 507 of the family's 1533-position model. The record is from RNAcentral.
GACGAACGCUGGCGGCGUGCCUAAUACAUGCAAGUAGAACGCUGAAGAGAGGAGCUUGCUCUUCUUGGAUGAGUUGCGAACGGGUGAGUAACGCGUAGGUAACCUGCCUUGUAGCGGGGGAUAACUAUUGGAAACGAUAGCUAAUACCGCAUAACAAUGGAUGACACAUGUCAUUUAUUUGAAAGGGGCAAUUGCUCCACUACAAGAUGGACCUGCGUUGUAUUAGCUAGUAGGUGAGGUAAUGGCUCACCUAGGCGACGAUACAUAGCCGACCUGAGAGGGUGAUCGGCCACACUGGGACUGAGACACGGCCCAGACUCCUACGGGAGGCAGCAGUAGGGAAUCUUCGGCAAUGGGGGCAACCCUGACCGAGCAACGCCGCGUGAGUGAAGAAGGUUUUCGGAUCGUAAAGCUCUGUUGUAAGUCAAGAACGGGUGCGAGAGUGGAAAGUUCACACUGUGACGGUAGCUUACCAGAAAGGGACGGCUAACUACGUG